This 189-nucleotide unclassified non-coding RNA is filed under the name rhizosphere metagenome. RNAcentral's name for it is "partial ribosomal RNA internal transcribed spacer region". The record is from RNAcentral.
GUAGGUGAACCUGCGGAAGGAUCAUUAAUGAAAACGAGUAACUCCUAGUCGAGUACUCAACCCUCAUUUCCAACUCUGUGCAUUUUAGAGGGCUGUUUCAGCACUCCUUACUAUAAAACACUCAGUAUAAAGUAUGUAAAUUAAAUAUAUAAUAAAAAAAAACUUUCAACAACGGAUCUCUUGGCUCUC